GUUAUUGUAGCUUAUUGCAAAGCAUGGCACUGAAGUUGCCAAGAUGGACAACGAACAUGCCCCAAAAACA
Molecule: transfer RNA, 70 nt
Filed under: Sacalia quadriocellata (four-eyed turtle)
Lineage: Eukaryota; Metazoa; Chordata; Testudines; Geoemydidae
Description: tRNA-Phe
Source: RNAcentral